Molecule: transfer RNA, 72 nt
Filed under: Camelus bactrianus (Bactrian camel)
Lineage: Eukaryota; Metazoa; Chordata; Mammalia; Artiodactyla; Camelidae
Also listed under: 2 other names
Rfam family: tRNA
About the family: Transfer RNA (tRNA) molecules are approximately 80 nucleotides in length. Their secondary structure includes four short double-helical elements and three loops (D, anti-codon, and T loops).
Source: Rfam by way of RNAcentral
GAGGGUAUAGCUCAGUGGAAGAGCACAUGCUCAGCAUACAUAAGGUCCUGGGUUCAAUCCCUGGUACCUCCU